RNAcentral lists this non-coding RNA (24 nucleotides) under Arabidopsis thaliana (thale cress). Lineage: Eukaryota; Viridiplantae; Streptophyta; Magnoliopsida; Brassicales; Brassicaceae. The record is from RNAcentral.
GCCGAUCCGAUCCGUCUGACGAUC